GUCAAGUACAAAGAGCAUCGGGUGGAUGCCUUGGCACUGGGAGCCGAAGAAGGACGUGAUAAGCUGCGAUAAGCUGCGGUAAGGAGCACAUAUCCGAUAUACCCGCAGAUUUCCGAAUGGGGGAACCCACAUACGGUAAUGCGUAUGUAUCAUUAAGUGAAUACAUAGCUUAAUGAAGGGAACGGGGUGAACUGAAACAUCUAAGUAGCCCUAGGAAGAGAAAGAAAAAUCGAUUUCCUGAGUAGCGGCGAGCGAAAGGGAAAGAGGCCAAACCAAAUUGUUUACAGUUUGGGGUUGUGGACCACCGACAUUGACGAAGUUAUGCGAGCCGAAUAGGGUUGGAAAGCUCAAGCAGAGAAGGUAAUACUCCUGUAGGCGAAGCAGAAAGCGCAUAGGUGGCACCAGAGUAGGACCGGACACGUGUAACCCGGUCUGAAGCAGGAGGGACCACCCUCCAAGCCUAAAUACUACCCAGUGACCGAUAGCGAAUAGUACCGUGAGGGAAAGGUGAAAAGAACCCCGGGAGGGGAGUGAAAUAGAAUCUGAAACCUGAUGCUUACAAGCAUAGGGAGCGCAAGUGACCUAGUACUUUUUGUAGAACGGGCCAACGAGUUAUGGUAUGUAGCGAGGUUAAGUUGCUGGAGCAACGGAGCCGUAGAGAAAUCGAGUCUGAAUAGGGCGAGAGUUACAUGCUGUAGACCCGAAACCGGGUGACCUAUCCAUGAGCAGGUUGAAGUAACCGUAAAAGGUUAUGGAGGACCGAACCUAUAUCUGUUGAAAAAGGUUAGGAUGACUUGUGGAUAGCGGUGAAAUUCCAAUCGAACUCGGAUAUAGCUGGUUCUCCUCGAAAUAGCUUUAGGGCUAGCCUCAAGGUAAAGAUACACGGGGGUAGAGCACUGACUGUUCGCGGGGCCUUCACCGGUUACCAACAACUAUCAAACUCCGAAUACCGUGCUAUCAUACUUGGGAGUCAGACUAUGAGAGAUAAGUUCCAUGGUCGAAAGGGAAACAGCCCAGAUCAACAGCUAAGGUCCCAAAGAGUAAGUUAAGUGGAAAAGGAUGUGGGAUUGCACAAACAGCUAGGAUGUUGGCUUAGAAGCAGCCAUACAUUUAAAGAGUGCGUAAUAGCUCACUAGUCGAGUGAUCCUGCGCCGAAGAUAAACGGGGCUCAAACUUACCACCGAAGCUUUGGAAUUAGUAUAACUAAUUGGUAGAGGAGCAUUCUAUACAGGUAGAAGGAGGCGCGUAAGCAAAUCUGGACGGUAUAGAAGAGAGAAUGUUGGCAUGAGUAGCGUAAGGCGGGUGAGAAUCCCGUCCGCCGAAAAUCUAAGGUUUCCUGAGGAAGGUUCGUCCUCUCAGGGUAAGUCGGGACCUAAGCCGAGAGCGAACGCUGUAGGCGAUGGACAACAGGUUGAUAUUCCUGUACCACCAAGGAUUGUUUGAAUGAAGUGGGGACACAGAAGGAUAGAUUGAGCACGCCGUUGGUUGAGCGUGUCCAAGCAGCAAGGCUUGAAAGUAGGCAAAUCCGCUUUCUACAAGGCUGAGCUGUGAUGGGGUGGUCGAAUGACCGGUAGCAAUCGAUUUCACGCUGUCAAGAAAAGCCGCUAAUGAGAUCCAAGGUGCCCGUACCGCAAACCGACACAGGUAGAUGAGGAGAGAAUCCUAAGGUGAGCGAGAGAACUAUUGUUAAGGAACUCGGCAAAAUAACCCCGUAACUUCGGGAGAAGGGGUGCCUGCUUCGGCAGGCCGCAGUGAAGAGGUCCAGGCAACUGUUUACCAAAAACACAGGUCUCUGCUAAAGCGAAAGCUGAUGUAUAGGGGCUGACGCCUGCCCGGUGCUGGAAGGUUAAGGGGAAGUGUUAGGGCAACCGAAGCACAGAACUUAAGCCCCAGUAAACGGCGGCCGUAACUAUAACGGUCCUAAGGUAGCGAAAUUCCUUGUCGGGUAAGUUCCGACCCGCACGAAAGGCGUAAUGAUCUGGGCACUGUCUCAACAAUAGACUCGGUGAAAUUGUAGUACCGGUAAAGAUGCCGGUUACCCGCAGCAGGACGGAAAGACCCCGUGGAGCUUCACUGUAGCUUGAUAUUGAUUUUCGGCAUUGCAUGUACAGGAUAGGUGGGAGACGUUGAGUUCAGCACGCCAGUGUUGGAGGAGUCACCGUUGGGAUACCACCCUUGUAAUGUUGGAAAUCUAACCUAGUACCGUGAUCCGGUACAGGGACAGUGUCAGGUGGGCAGUUUGACUGGGGCGGUCGCCUCCUAAAGAGUAACGGAGGCGUUCAAAGGUUCCCUCAGAAUGG
RNAcentral lists this ribosomal RNA (2300 nucleotides) under human metagenome. RNAcentral's name for it is "bacterial LSU rRNA". It matches the Rfam family "Bacterial large subunit ribosomal RNA", at positions 1 to 2330 of the family's 2925-position model. The record is from RNAcentral.